RNAcentral lists this ribosomal RNA (505 nucleotides) under uncultured bacterium. RNAcentral describes it as "bacterial SSU rRNA". It matches the Rfam family "Bacterial small subunit ribosomal RNA", at positions 30 to 526 of the family's 1533-position model. The record is from RNAcentral.
AUUGAACGCUGGCGGCACGCUUAACACAUGCAAGUCGAGCGGCAGCGCGGAGAGUAGCAAUACUUUCUGGCGGCGAGCGGCGGACGGGUGAGUAACACGUAGGAACCUACCCAAGAGAGGGGGACAACCAAGGGAAACUUUGGCUAAUACCGCAUAAUCUCGAGAGAGAAAAGUUGCCGCAAGGUGACGCUUUUGGAGGGGCCUGCGUCCGAUUAGUUAGUUGGUAAGGUAAUGGCUUACCAAGGCGCAGAUCGGUAACUGGUCUGAGAGGACGACCAGUCACACUGGGACUGAGACACGGCCCAGACUCCUACGGGAGGCAGCAGUGGGGAAUCUUGGACAAUGGGGGCAACCCUGAUCCAGCGAUGCCGCGUGAGUGAAGAAGGCCCUCGGGUCGUAAAGCUCUUUAGUUUGGGAAGAAGUGUGGUGAUUGAUAAUGUCAUCAUAUUGACGGUACCAAAAGAAUAAGCACCGGCAAACUCUGUGCCAGCAGCCGCCGUAACAC